AGCAGCCGCGGUAAUUCCAGCUCCAAUAGCGUAUAUUAAAGUUGUUGCAGUUAAAAAGCUCGUAGUUGAAUUUCGGGAUCAAUAUGCUGGUCGCGCCUUUGGUACGUACUGGUAUUAUUGGUUUCUCCUUUCUGAUGAAUCACGAUGUCAUUAAUUUGGUGUCAUGGGGAAUCAGGACUGUUACUUUGAAAAAAUUAGAGUGUUUAAAGCAGGCUUACGCUUGAAUACAUUAGCAUGGAAUAAUGAAAUAGGACGUUUAAUCUAUUUUGUGGUUUCUAGGAUUGACGUAAUGAUUAAUAGGGAUAGUUGGGGGCAUUAGUAUUCAAUUGUCAGAGGUGAAAUUCUUGGAUUUAUUGAAGACUAACUACUGCGAAAGCAUUUGCCAAGGAUGUUUUCAUUAAUCAAGACGAAAGUUAGGGGAUCGAAGACGAUCAGAUACCGUCGUAGUCUUAACCAUAAACUAUGCCGACUAGGGAUCGGAUGAUGUUAAUUUAUGACUCAUUCGGC
RNAcentral lists this ribosomal RNA (507 nucleotides) under uncultured Glomeraceae. Its description in RNAcentral is "SSU rRNA". It matches the Rfam family "Eukaryotic small subunit ribosomal RNA", at positions 569 to 1084 of the family's 1831-position model. The record is from RNAcentral. Lineage: Eukaryota; Fungi; Glomeromycota; Glomeromycetes; Glomerales; Glomeraceae.